Molecule: ribosomal RNA, 468 nt
Filed under: uncultured bacterium
Lineage: Bacteria
Description: partial 16S ribosomal RNA
Rfam family: Bacterial small subunit ribosomal RNA
Source: RNAcentral
GACGAACGCUGGCGGCGUGCUUAACACAUGCAAGUCGAACGGAAAGGCCCUGCUUUUGUGGGGUGCUCGAGUGGCGAACGGGUGAGUAACACGUGAGUAACCUGCCCUUGACUUUGGGAUAACUUCAGGAAAGUGGGGCUAAUACCGGACAGGAGCUCCUGCUGCAGGGUGGGGGUUGGAAAGUUUCGGCGGUUGGGGAUGGACUCGCGGCUUAUCAGCUUGUUGGUGGGGUAGUGGCUUACCAAGGCUUUGACGGGUAGCCGGCCGGGGAGGGUGACCGGCCACAUUGGGACUGCGGUACGGCCCAGACUCCUACGGGAGGCAGCAGUGGGGAAUAUUGCACAAUGGGCGGAAGCCUGAUGCAGCAACGCCGCGUGCGGGAUGACGGCCUUCGGGUUGUAAACCGCUUUCGCCUGUGACGAAGCGUUAGUGACGGUAAUGGGUAAAGAAGCACCGGCUAACUACGUG